UAAUUGCCUGUGUUCUGCUCCUGUAACCCU
This 30-nucleotide non-coding RNA is filed under the name Mus musculus (house mouse). Lineage: Eukaryota; Metazoa; Chordata; Mammalia; Rodentia; Muridae. The record is from RNAcentral.